UACGGGGGGUGCAAACGUUGCUCGGAAUCAUUGGGCGUAAAGCGCACGUAGGCGGCUCGUUAAGUCGGAUGUGAAAGCCCUGGGCUUAACCCAGGAAGUGCAUACGAAACUGGCGAGCUUGAGUAUGGAAGAGGGUCGCGGAAUUCCCGGUGUAGAGGUGAAAUUCGUAGAUAUCGGGAGGAACACCAGUGGCGAAGGCGGCGACCUGGGCCAAUACUGACGCUGAGGUGCGAAAGCGUGGGGAGCAAACAGG
RNAcentral lists this ribosomal RNA (253 nucleotides) under uncultured bacterium. RNAcentral describes it as "partial 16S ribosomal RNA". It matches the Rfam family "Bacterial small subunit ribosomal RNA", at positions 524 to 776 of the family's 1533-position model. The record is from RNAcentral.